GGGACCCGUCUUGAAACACGGACCAAGGAGUCUAGCAUGUGCGCGAGUCAUUGGGACUCUAACGAAACCUAAAGGCGUAAUGAAAGUGAAGGUUCGCCACGCGCGAACCGAGGGAGGAUGGACGGUCCUUCGUGGCCGUCCCGCACUCCCUGGGCGUCUCGUUCUCAUCGCGAGAAGAGGCGCACCAAGAGCGUACACGCUGGGACCCGAAAGAUGGUGAACUAUGCCUGGUCAGGACGAAGUCAGGGGAAACCCUGAUGGAGGUCCGUAGCGAUUCUGACGUGCAAAUCGAUCGUCGGAACUGGGUAUAGGGGCGAAAGACUAAUCGAACCAUCUAGUAGCUGGUUCCCUCCGAAGUUUCCCUCAGGAUAGCUGGCGCUCGCUUCUCGCGAGUCUCAUUCGGUAAAGCGAAUGAUUAGAGGCAUUGGGGUCGAAACGGCCUCAACCUAUUCUCAAACUUUAAAUGGGUGAGAUCUCCGGCUUGCUUGAACUGUGAAGCCGCGAGAUAUCGGAUCAGAGUGCCAAGUGGGCCACUUUUGGUAAGCAGAACUGGCGCUGUGGGAUGAACCAAACGCUGAGUUAAAGCGCCUAAAUCGACGCUUAUGGGAUACCAUGAAAGGCGUUGGUAACUUAAGACAGCAGGACGGUGGCCAUGGAAGUCGGAAUCCGCUAAGGAGUGUGUAAA
Molecule: ribosomal RNA, 685 nt
Filed under: Anomala varicolor
Lineage: Eukaryota; Metazoa; Arthropoda; Insecta; Coleoptera; Scarabaeidae
Description: eukaryotic LSU rRNA
Rfam family: Eukaryotic large subunit ribosomal RNA
Source: RNAcentral